AAUCAUAUAGUCAUAUCAAUUGAUGCAGAAAAAGCAUUUGAUAAAAUCCAACAUCCUUUCCUGAUAAAAACUCUCAACAAGGUGUGAAUAGAAGGAUCAUUCCUCAACAUAAUAAAAGCCAUAUAUGACAAAUGCACAGCCAACAUCAUACUCAAUGGGCAAAAACUAAAACCACUUCCACUAAGCACAGGAACAAGAGAGGGAUGCCCACUCUCACCACUCCUGUUCAACAUAGUACUGGAAGUACUAGCCAUUGUGAUUAGACAAGAA
Molecule: long non-coding RNA, 270 nt
Organism: Pipistrellus kuhlii (Kuhl's pipistrelle)
Lineage: Eukaryota; Metazoa; Chordata; Mammalia; Chiroptera; Vespertilionidae
Exons: 2
Source: RefSeq, a predicted model, not a curated record